Molecule: ribosomal RNA, 429 nt
Filed under: bacterium
Lineage: Bacteria
Description: partial 16S ribosomal RNA
Rfam family: Bacterial small subunit ribosomal RNA
Source: RNAcentral
UAGGGAAUCUUCCACAAUGGACGCAAGUCUGAUGGAGCAACGCCGCGUGAGUGAAGAAGGUUUUCGGAUCGUAAAGCUCUGUUGUUGGUGAAGAAGGAUAGAGGCAGUAACUGGUCUUUAUUUGACGGUAAUCAACCAGAAAGUCACGGCUAACUACGUGCCAGCAGCCGCGGUAAUACGUAGGUGGCAAGCGUUGUCCGGAUUUAUUGGGCGUAAAGCGAGCGCAGGCGGAAUGAUAAGUCUGAUGUGAAAGCCCACGGCUCAACCGUAGAACUGCAUCGGAAACUGUCAUUCUUGAGUGCAGAAGAGGAGAGUGGAAUUCCAUGUGUAGCGGUGGAAUGCGUAGAUAUAUGGAAGAACACCAGUGGCGAAGGCGGCUCUCUGGUCUGCAACUGACGCUGAGGCUCGAAAGCAUGGGUAGCGAACAGG